GACGAACGCUGGCGGCGUGCCUAACACAUGCAAGUCGAACGGAAAGGCCCGGCUCUUGCGGGGUGCUUGUGUGGCGCACGGGUGAGUAACACGUGAGUAACCUGCCCCUGACAUUGGGAUAACUUCAGGAAACUGGGGCUAAUACCGGAUAUGAGCUUCUGCUGCAUGGUGGUCGAUGGAAAGAUUCGGCGGUUCGGGAUCGACUGGCGGGUUAUGGGCUUCUUGGUGGGGUAGUUGCUGUCAAAGCCUUUGACGGCUAGCCGGCCUGAGAGGCGGGCCGGCCACAUGGGGACUACGGUACGGCGCAGACUCCUACGGUACGCAGCAGGGGAGAAUAUUACAGAGUGGGCGGAAGCCUGAGGCAGCGACCCCGCGAGCGGGAUGACGGCCUUCGGGUGGUAAACCGCUUUCGCAUGUGACGAACCGUGAGUGGCGGUAAUGGGUAAAAAAGCAACGGCUAACUACGUG
This 468-nucleotide ribosomal RNA is filed under the name uncultured bacterium. RNAcentral describes it as "partial 16S ribosomal RNA". It matches the Rfam family "Bacterial small subunit ribosomal RNA", at positions 28 to 507 of the family's 1533-position model. The record is from RNAcentral.